Molecule: long non-coding RNA, 1106 nt
Filed under: Pandoravirus salinus
Description: putative ncRNA
Source: RNAcentral
CGGGCGCCGCAGCGCCGACGACGACGGGCGGCGCCGGUGCGGCGGCCAGGCCGCAGAGGCCGGUCCCGCGGGGGCUGUAGAUCCUGGUGGUGGUAGUGCGCUGCAUCGCGGUUGUGUGUGUGUGUGUGUGUCGCGGACGGCCUUUUUACUCUGCCCGUUCGCGUCUAUCCGGCCGUGGACGCAUGUAUGAGCGGCGACGGCAGGCACGCGGGAGGGGGGAGGCGCCAGAGCCGAGCAGACGACGCAAGAGUCGUCACGCACGCGCGCACGCACCCGUCCACGCCCAAACCCGGCAGUCGCCCGACGCGCGGCAGAGCGCCGAGAGACCGCCCAGAGAGAAUCAUGAAAAAAAAGGGCGCGCCAGAUCAACACGCCCACGGCCAAAACACACACCACACACACACACACACACAAAUAUAUUUGUUUGUACACACGCGCCACAGGCACACACACACACACACACACACACACACACACACACACACAAAACACAAACCAGCGUCCAGAGGGAAUCGCACAAACAAAAGGAAAAAAAAAUAAAGAGAACCCCACCAAUAACAACGAGAUGCGUCACAUUGUCAGAAGAGGAAAAAAAAAAGAAAAAGAACAGGCGGCAGCGGAACAGGUGGUAAUGUCGCCCGGGGGAGCGGGCUGGUCGUACCGUGUCUUCCUUUUCUUUUCUGCAUUUUGGCCCGCCGAGACGAAAAGGUUUGGGAAAAGAAAAGGUGAGCCGGUAAAGAAAAAAAGGAAAGGGAGGCGGGGGCAAACAAAAGAGGCGCGCUGGGCACGGCAAACCUGACGACAGCAGCAAAGGCGAUGACGGCGGCAGCGGAGUCACCAGCGGUUUAAGGAGGGACCCGACGGAAAGCGCCCUCGGGCACACCACGACAUGUCUCGGCACGCACCCGCGCGCGCGCGCACAUACAAAUCCACCGACCGGGGGUGCGAGCACAUUGCCGGGUCUGCGCUCUUUCGUGGGCGGGGCGUGUGCAACCUGUGCCUCGGCGGCUCGUCGUCCUCGCAAAGAAAAAAAAGAAGAGGAAAAAAAAAGAGACGGACCAAGGGGCGCGCCCGCACUAAACCGGUCCCUCUUGCGUAAACAGCAC